Molecule: non-coding RNA, 31 nt
Filed under: Mus musculus (house mouse)
Lineage: Eukaryota; Metazoa; Chordata; Mammalia; Rodentia; Muridae
Source: RNAcentral
UGCAAGGAAUGUAAACACAGGGACUAAGAGA